UGUUGUGCGUGAUUUUAUUUGUUCGCGAUCGAAUCGUUGUAAAAUAAAAAAAUUAUUAAAAAUAUAAAUUCUAUACUUACGUUGUUUAAAAUAUUACAUAAUUAUAAAUGAAGUAGUGAAUCAUAUUUCUGAUAAAUAAAAUCUUUAAAUUCGUGGGUUUUUCAGUGUUUUUUUGCAUUCUUUUCGAAUGUCUACCUAUAAAUUUUAUUUUCAUUGGAUUAAUUUCGCGACCGUUACUUUGGAAUUGUUUUUGUCGGGCUCGGUGGAGAAGUGUGUUUGAUUUGAUGUGUGUGUUAUUUUGCGGUAAUAUUUGAAUAAAUUUCAAAUUCAAAAUGAAACAUUUUCAUUUAAAUACAUUUUUGAGGAAUUUGGAAUGAAAACGUACUCCUCAUCCUACGACGACGACGACGAUGAUGAUGUCGACUACGACUAUGGCCAGGACUACGUCGACGAUAACAAGGACGAUUGUUAUUUCGUAUUUAAUUCAUCGCUCGUUAAGCACAUUUGGUGCGCUUUGCUUGUCGUCAUUCGAAAACAUUUUCUUAAAUUUGUUCUACUUCAAAACUUGCAUGAAAUGCUAUAAGUUCGACAGUGAUUUCAGGU
Molecule: long non-coding RNA, 603 nt
Organism: Eupeodes corollae
Lineage: Eukaryota; Metazoa; Arthropoda; Insecta; Diptera; Syrphidae
Exons: 3
Source: RefSeq, a predicted model, not a curated record